GACGAACGCUGGCGGCGUGCUUAACACAUGCAAGUCGAGCGGUAAGGCCCUUUCGGGGGUACACGAGCGGCGAACGGGUGAGUAACACGUGGGUGACCUGCCCUCAGCUCUGGGAUAAGCCUGGGAAACCGGGUCUAAUACUGGAUAUGACUCCAUGACGCAUGUUGUGGGGUGGAAAGCCUUGUGCGGCUGAGGAUGGGCCCGCGGCCUAUCAGCUUGUUGGUGGGGUGAGGCCUACCAAGGCGACGACGGGUAGCCGGCCUGAGAGGGCGACCGGCCACACUGGGACUGAGACACGGCCCAGACUCCUACGGGAGGCAGCAGUGGGGAAUCUUGCGCAAUGGGCGAAAGCCUGACGCAGCGACGCCGCGUGAGGGAUGACGGCCUCGGGUU
RNAcentral lists this ribosomal RNA (393 nucleotides) under uncultured bacterium. RNAcentral's name for it is "bacterial SSU rRNA". It matches the Rfam family "Bacterial small subunit ribosomal RNA", at positions 28 to 424 of the family's 1533-position model. The record is from RNAcentral.